AGUCGAACGGUAAAUAUUUAGCAAUAAAUAUGAGAGUGACGUACGGGUGCGUAACACGUAUGCAACCUACCCUUUACAGGUGGAUAGCCCGGGGAAACUCGAAUUAACCCACCAUAAUAUUAUUGGAUGGCAUCAUUUGAUAAUUAAAUCACCAGAGGUAAAGGAUGGGCAUGCGUCUGAUUAGUUAGUUGGCGGUGUAACGGACCACCAAGACGAUGAUCAGUAGGGGAACUGAGAGGUUGAUCCCCCACACUGGCACUGAGAUACGGGCCAGACUCCUACGGGAGGNAGCAGUAGGGAAUAUUGGUCAAUGGAUGGAAGUCUGAACCAGCCAUGCCGCGUGCAAGAAGAAGGCCUUCUGGGUUGUAAACNNNUUUUGCCAGGGGAUAAAAUUUCCUUGCGAGGAACAUUGAAAGUACCUGGUGAAUAAGCCACGGCUNNNNNCGUGCCAGCAGCNNNG
Molecule: ribosomal RNA, 460 nt
Filed under: uncultured soil bacterium
Lineage: Bacteria
Description: partial 16S ribosomal RNA
Rfam family: Bacterial small subunit ribosomal RNA
Source: RNAcentral